GCCGAGGUGGUGAAAUUGGUAGACGCGCUGGUUUCAGGGACCAGUACUCUUCGGGGUGUGCGGGUUCGAGUCCCGCCCUCGGCA
Molecule: transfer RNA, 84 nt
Filed under: Calditrichota bacterium
Lineage: Bacteria; Pseudomonadati; Calditrichota
Description: Calditrichaeota bacterium (marine metagenome) tRNA-Leu
Rfam family: tRNA
About the family: Transfer RNA (tRNA) molecules are approximately 80 nucleotides in length. Their secondary structure includes four short double-helical elements and three loops (D, anti-codon, and T loops).
Source: RNAcentral